UCAUCUGGCCUUGUAACAAUAACCGGAACGGCCUUGCUGUGCUGGUACUGCGAACGGCUGAAAGCAAGGGGAAACUACGGCCGUAAUUUUUCCCGAGGGCAUGCAGCUUUACUGUAUGGUUAAUGAAUGAUGACGUCCUCUUGGGUAAAAUAUUCCGGAGGUAAAAUUGUCCCCCAUUUGGAUCUCGGGGAGUACUCGAGAUGACGUGGUUAUCAGGAGAAAGAAAACUGGCAUUCUACAGAUCGGAGCGUGGAAUGUCAGAUCCCUUAAUUGGGCAGGGAGAUUAGAAAAUUUAAAAACUGAAAUGGAUAGGCUGAAGUUAGCUAUAGUGGAAAUUAGUGAAGUUGGGUGGCAGGAGGAACAAGACUUUUGGUCAGGUGAAUACAGGGUUAUAAAUACAAAAUCAAAUAGGGGUAAUGCAGGAGUAGGUUUCAUAAUGAAUAAAAAAAUAGGAGUGGGGGUAAGCUACUACUAACAGCAUAGUGAUCACAUUAUUGGGGCCAAGAUAGACACGAAGCCCAUGCCUACUACAGUAGUACAAGUUUCUAUGCCAACUAGCUCUGCAGAUGAUGAAGAAAUUGAUGAAAUGUAUGAUGAGGUAAAAGAAAUUAUUCAGGUAGUGAAGGGAGACGAAAAUUUAAUAGUCAGGGUGAAUAUGGAUUGGGGGGAGAAAUGAAAGAGGAAGCCGUCUGGUAGAAUUUUGCACAGAGUGUAACUUAAUCAUAGCUAACACUUGGUUCAAGAAUCAUAAAAGGAGGUUGUAUACAUGGAAGAAACCUGGAGGUACUAGAAGGUAUCAGAUAGAUUAUAUAAUGGUAAGACAGAGAUUUAGGAACCAAGUUUUAAAUUGCAAGACAUUUCCAGGGGCAGAUGUGGACUCUGACCACAAUCUAUUGGUUAUGAACCGUAGGUUAAAACUGAAGAAACAACAAAAAGGUGGGAAUUUGAGGAGAUGGGACCUGGAUAAACUGUAAGGACCAGACGUAGAGAGCUUCAGGGAAAGCAUUAGGGAAUCAUUGACAAGAAUGGUGGAAAGAAAUACAGUAGAAGAAGAAUGGGUAGCUCUGAGGGGUGAAGUAGUGAAGGCAGCAGAGGAUCAAGUAGGUAAAAAGACGAGGGCUAGUAGAAAUCCUUGGGUAACAGAAGAAAUAUUGAAUUUAAUUGAUGAAAGGAGAAAAUAUAAAAAUGCAGUAAAUGAAGCAGGCAAAAGGGAAUACAAACGUCUCAAAAAUGAGAUCGACAGGAUGUGCAAAAUGGCUAAGCAGAGAUGGCUAGAGGACAAAUUUAAGGAUGUAGAGGCUUAUCUCACUAGGGGUAAGAUAGAUACUGCCUACAGGAAAAUUAAAGAGACCUUUGGAGAAAAGAGAGCCACUUGUAUGAGUACCAAGGGCUCUGAUGGAAACCCAGUUCUAACCAAAGAAGGGAAAGCAGAAAGGUGGAAGGAUUAUAUAGAGGGUCUAUACAAGGGCGAUGGGAUGAAAUGGGAGAUACAAUACUGCGUGAAAAGUUUGACAGAGCACUGAAAGACCUGAGUCGAAACAAGGCCCCGGGAGUAGACUACUGAUGGCCUUGGGAGAGCCAGUCCUGACAAAACUCUCCCAUCUGGUGAGCAAGAUGUAUGAAACAGGCGAAAUACCCUCAGACUUCAAGAAGAAUAUAAUAAUUCUAAUCCCAAAGAAAACAGGUGUUGACAGAUGUGAAAAUUACCAAACUAUUAGUUUAAUAAGUCACAGCUCAAAAUACUCACCUGAAUUCUUUACAGACGAGUGGAAAAACUGGUAGAAGCCGACCUCGGGGAAGAUCAGUUUGCAUUCCGCAGAAAUGUUGGAACACGUGAGGCAAUACUAACCGUACGACUUAUCUUAGGAAAUAGAUUAAGGAAAGGCAAGCCUACAUUUCUAGCGUUUGUAGACUUAGAGAAAGCUUUUGAAAAUGUUGACUGGAAUACUCUCUUUCAAAUUCUAAAGGUGGCAGGGGUAAGAUACAGGGAGUAGGUAUUAAAGUCCAUGGAGAAGAAAUAAGAACUUUGAGGUUCGAAGAUGACAUUGUAAUUCUGUCAGACACAGCAAAGGACUUGGAAGAGCAUUUGAACGGAAUGGAGAGUGUCUUGAAAGGUGGAUAUAAAUGAACAUCAACAAAAGCAAAUCGAGGAUAAUUGAAUGUAGUCGAAUUAAGUCGGGUGAUACUGAGGGAAUUAGAUUAGGAAAUAAGACACUUAAAGUAGUAAAGGAGUUUUGCUAUUUGGGGAACAAAAUAACUGAUGAUGGUCGAAGUAGAGAGGAUAUAAAAUGUACACUGACAAUGAAGAAGAGAAAUUUGUUAACAUCGAGUAUAGAUUUAAGUGUCAGGAAGUCGUUUCUGAAAGUAUUUGUAUGGAGUGUAGCCAUGUAUGGAAGUGAAACAGGAAAAUAAAUAGUUUGGACAAGAAGAGAAUAGAAGCUUUUGAAAUGUGGUGUUACAGAAGAAUGUUGAAGAUUAGGUGAGUAGAUCAUGUAACUAAUGAGGAGGUAUUGAAUAGAAUUGGGGAUAAGAGGAGUUUGUGGCACAACUUGACAAGAAGAAGGGAUCGGUUAGUAGGACAUGUUCUGAGGCAUCAAGGGAUCACAAAUUUAGCAUUGGAGGGCAACGUGGAGGGUAAAAAUCGUAGAGGGAGAGCAAGAGAUGAAUACACUAAGCAGAUUCAGAAGGAUGUAGGUUGCAGUAGGUACUGGGAGAUGAAGGAGCUUGCACAGGAUAGAUUAGCAUGGAGAGCUGCAUCAAACCAGUCUCAGGACUGAAGACCACAACAACAACAACCACUGCAUGAAAAAGUAACAUCUGUCCACACUGAAAAUUGCAUCACAACAAACCUGUCAUUGGUACCCGAAGUACAUUUCAGUCACUCAGUAUAGUGAUAACUCAAAAUAUCAUUGUCAACAGAUCUGGAGAAAUUGCCACUGCGUGUUUAGACCGUUUUCGUCAGACGAUAGACACGGUUCUGACUCUGAUUACUGGUUGCUGUACGUAUCUAUCCACAUCAAGGACGUUGAGAGAGUCUCGUGAAGGUUCAAGACAGCUCUUAGAGGAUUUGCAGUUUAAAAGUGACAUAAUUGUGAAAUAAGUGUGCAGGAACAGCACUAGACGAUCUCGAUUUACUAGACAGGCAACUGGAGGCUGGUCAUCGGCAGAUGCAACAGCAGCCUCCAGCAAGUAAUGACGAGAUGGCCAGGCAGAAUACUUAUGAUGACCCGUCACUCCUAUACGACAAUUGCGAUGAUGUUUUUGACGGUGCGGUGGAAUCACCUGAUGAAUUGUUUAUGGCCUG
Schistocerca gregaria is the source of this 3304-nucleotide long non-coding RNA. RefSeq lists it as uncharacterized. Lineage: Eukaryota; Metazoa; Arthropoda; Insecta; Orthoptera; Acrididae. The transcript is spliced from 5 exons. The record is from RefSeq and is a predicted model, not a curated record.